Molecule: ribosomal RNA, 301 nt
Filed under: uncultured bacterium
Lineage: Bacteria
Description: bacterial SSU rRNA
Rfam family: Bacterial small subunit ribosomal RNA
Source: RNAcentral
GAUGAACGCUAGCGGCAGGCCUAAUACAUGCAAGUCGAACGGCCCCGACACUUCGGUGUCGGGGUAGUGGCGCACGGGUGCGUAACGCGUACACAACAUACCCUUUACGGGGGAGUAGCGGCGGGAAACUAGCCAGUAAUACCCCACUGUCCUUGCGAGGUGGCAUCAUUUUGUCAAAGAAAGUUACAAGCGGUAAAGGAUUGGUGUGCGUCCGAUUAGCUAGUUGGCGGGGUAACGGCCCACCAAGGCGACGAUCGGUAGGGGGUGGUGAGAGCAUGGCCCCCCGACCACGGGUACGUGA